CAGUCGCCGCGGGAAAACGUAGGUGGCGAGCGUUGUCCGGAAUUAUUGGGCGUAAAGGGAGCGCAGGCGGACAUAUAAGUCCAUCUUAAAAGUGCGGGGCUCAACCCCGCGAGGGGAUGGAAACUGUAUGCCUUGAGUGCAGGUGAGGAAAGCGGAAUUCCCAGUGUAGCGGUGAAAUGCGUAGAUAUUCGCAAGAACACCAGUGGCGAAGGCGGCUUACUGGCUCGAAACUGACGCUGAGGCGCGAAAGCGUGGGGAGCAAACAGGAUUAGAUACCCCGGUAGUCCCUGUCUCUUAUACC
This 301-nucleotide ribosomal RNA is filed under the name uncultured bacterium. Its description in RNAcentral is "partial 16S ribosomal RNA". It matches the Rfam family "Bacterial small subunit ribosomal RNA", at positions 509 to 808 of the family's 1533-position model. The record is from RNAcentral.